GAUGAAGAACGUAGUGAAAUGCGAUACGUAAUGUGAAUUGCAGAAUUCAGUGAAUCAUCGAGUCUUUGAACGCACAUUGCGCCCCCUGGUAUUCCGGGGGGCAUGCCUGUCCGAGCGUCAUUGCUGCCCUCAAGCCCGGCUUGUGUGUUGGGUCUCGUCCCCCUUCCCGGGGGGACGGGCCCGAAAGGCAGCGGCGGCACCGCGUCCGGUCCUCGAGCGUAUGGGGCUUUGUCACCCGCUCUGUAGGCCCGGCCGGCGCUUGCCGAUCAACCAAAACUUUUUUCCAGGUUGACCUCGGAUCAGGUAGGAAUACCCGCUGAACUUAAGCAUAUCAAUAAGCGGAGGA
Molecule: unclassified non-coding RNA, 346 nt
Filed under: soil metagenome
Description: partial contains 5.8S ribosomal RNA, internal transcribed spacer 2, and large subunit ribosomal RNA
Rfam family: 5.8S ribosomal RNA (bases 1-120)
Source: RNAcentral